GAUGAACGCUAGCGGCAGGCCUAAUACAUGCAAGUCGAGGGGCAGCGCGGUAGCAAUACUGGCGGCGACCGGCGCACGGGUGCGUAACACGUAUGCAACCUACCUUCAACUGGAGGAUAGCCCGGGGAAACUCGGAUUAAUACUCCAUAACACAGGGAUCCCGCAUGGGAAUAUUGUUAAAGCUACGGCGGUUGAAGAUGGGCAUGCGUUCGAUUAGCUAGUUGGUGUAGGUAACGGCUCACCAAGGCUACGAUCGAUAGGGGGUCUGAGAGGAUGAUCCCCCACACUGGUACUGAGAUACGGACCAGACUCCUACGGGAGGCAGCAGUAGGGAAUAUUGGUCAAUGGGCGCAAGCCUGAACCAGCCAUGCCGCGUGCAGGAAGAAGGGCCCCUCUGGGUUGUAAACUGCUUUUGAUAGGGAACAAAUGCCACUUGCGAGUGGAGCUGAGUGUACCUAUAGAAUAAGCACCGGCUAACUCCGUGCCAGCAGCCGCGGUAA
This 500-nucleotide ribosomal RNA is filed under the name uncultured bacterium. Its description in RNAcentral is "bacterial SSU rRNA". It matches the Rfam family "Bacterial small subunit ribosomal RNA", at positions 28 to 523 of the family's 1533-position model. The record is from RNAcentral.